This 463-nucleotide ribosomal RNA is filed under the name Bombus impetuosus. Its description in RNAcentral is "partial 16S ribosomal RNA". The stretch from base 311 to 463 matches the Rfam family "Bacterial large subunit ribosomal RNA", at positions 2473 to 2626 of the family's 2925-position model. Lineage: Eukaryota; Metazoa; Arthropoda; Insecta; Hymenoptera; Apidae. The record is from RNAcentral.
GGCUUAUUAAUAAUUUUAAGUCAAUCUGCCCAAUGAUAAAUGGCUGCAGUAUAUUAACUGUACAAAGGUAGCAUAAUCAAUUGUUUUUUAAUUAAAAACUAGAAUGAAAGAAUUAAUGAGAUAUAUACUGUCUCAUAUAUAUAAAAUAAAUUUAAAUUUUUAGUAAAAAUGCUUAAAUUAAUUUAUGGGACGAUAAGACCCUAUAGAAUUUUAUAUUUGGGAGGAUUAGUAAAUUAAAAAAACUUUAUUAAAUAAACUUUAAUUUUAGAAUGAUCUUAUAUUAUAAAUUAAAAAAAUAAAUUACCUUAGGGAUAACAGCGUAAUAUCUUUUUAAAGAUCAUAUUAAUAAAGAUGUUUGCGACCUCGAUGUUGAAUUAAGAUAAAUUUUAGAUGAAGAAAUCUAAAUAUUAAGUCUGUUCGACUUUUAAAAUCUUACAUGAUUUGAGUUCAAAUCGACGUAAGU